This is an RNA transcript of Carassius carassius (crucian carp), 6334 nucleotides long. It is a transcript of the gene named girdin-like, with no coding region annotated. Lineage: Eukaryota; Metazoa; Chordata; Actinopteri; Cypriniformes; Cyprinidae. The record is from RefSeq and is a predicted model, not a curated record. The transcript is spliced from 33 exons.
CGCGGUGUUUAUAUACUGGAUCUAGUGUAUGUGUGAUAGCUGGGCGGUGUUUGUGCACACUGGGCUCGGAGGCGGUGUCUGACCCGCUGUGCGGCGGAAGUGCAGCAGUAAAUCAGUGCCCUCGGUAGUGUGCUCGCUGAAGUACAGGCGGCGCUUUGUUCCGUCGCGUCACGCUGCAGUCUAACGGAGAACAGCGGCUCUCGCUGGGGAUGAAGGGCUCGGUCUCGGUCUCGGUCUCCGGCGGAGAAUAAGCGCAGGAUCCUUCUCAUGAGUCUCCCGCGGCUGGACGGAUGAGAGCGGCUUCAUAAACACUCAGAUCUCCACACACUCACGCUUUAUUCCCGAUCCACGGACACGAUGGAGCAGGAGGCGAUCUCGCCUUUGUUGGAGGAUUUUCUGCUGUCUCCGCUGGUGUGCUGGGUGAAGACGGUCUCUCCGCUCGGCUCCGACGGCUCUCCUCUGUCCGAGUUCAUGACGCUGGUGGACGGGGUUUAUUUGAACGACAUCAUGACGGAGAUAAACCCAAAGAGCAGUGUCCAGAGAGCCCACAGGAAGGUGAGGAACGAGCCAACACUGCGCAUCCACAACCUGUCUCUCCUCGUGCAGCAGAUCAAGUCCUGCUAUCAGGAGACGCUGCAGCAGCUGGUGGUGAUGUCACUUCCUGACGUGCUGGUGCUGGGCCGGACUCCUCUGAGCGAGCAAGGACUGGAGGAGAUGAGGAAGAUCCUGCUGCUGCUGCUGGGCUGUGCUGUACAGUGUAACAGGAAGGAGGAAUACAUCGACCGGAUCCAGAUGCUGGACUUUGACACACAGGCAGCCAUCGCUGCUCACAUUCAGGAGGUGACUCAUAACCAGGAGAACGUGUUUGACCUUCAGUGUGUAGAGGAGAGCGAGUCUGUCCCGCACGAUAAAGACAUCGUCUUCAGACAGCUGACCUUUAACCUCAAGCGCCUCGUGGAUGAGCGAGACCAACAUGCCGAGAUGGUGGUGUCUCUGUCUCUGGAGCGUGACGCUGGGCUGGUCUCUCUUCACACUGCUCCUUCACCCGGAGAGUCUCCCAGCAUCAGACGCACUGAGAGUGUGCAGCAUCUGUCCGUGGAGCUGGCCGACGCUAAAGCCCGGAUCAGACGCCUGCGGCAGGAGCUAGAGGAGAAGACCGAGCAGCUUCUGGACUGCAGACAGGAGCUGGAGCACAUGGAGACCGAGGUCAAGAGACUGCAGCAGGAAAACCUGCAGUUGCUGUGUGACGCGCGGUCGCUGCGGGCGUAUCGGGAUGAGCUGGACGCGCUCCGAGAGAAGGCCGUCAGGGUGGACAAACUGGAGAGUGAAGUGACACGCUACAAAGAGAAACUCCAUGACAUUGAGUUCUACAGGACCAGAGUGGAGGAACUGAAAGAGGACUAUCAGGUUCUCCUGGAGACCAAGAGCAUGCUGGAGGAUCAGCUGGAGUCAUUCAGAGCUCGAUCUGAUAAACAUCAUGAGCUGGAGAAGGAAAAUCUGCAGCUUAAAAACAAGAUCCAUGAUAUGGAGAUGGAGCGAGACAUGGACAGGAAGCGCAUGGAGGAGCUGCUGGAGGAGAACCUGACGCUAGCGGUGGCCCAGAAACAGAGCAUGGACGAGUCUCUACAUCUGGGCUGGGAGCUGGAGCAGCUCUCCAAGACCACACCUGAGCUCACUGAUGUGCCGCAGAAGUCUCUGGGUCACGAGGUGAACGAGCUGACAUCCAGUCAGCUGCUGAAGCUGGAGAAGGAGAAUCAGAUGCUGCUGAAGAACGUGGAGGAGCUGAAGUCCUCCAGUGAGAGCGGCGCAUGCCUCCGACUGGAAAAAGACAACCAGACGCUCAGCCAGCAGCUGGAGCAGCUGCAGGCGGAGCUAACUGCAGACAGAGAGAGUCUGCGCAGCGCUGAGAGUCUGAGCACAGAUCUGCUGAAGGAGAAGGGACAGCUGGAGAAAACACUGGAGACACUCCAGCAGAACUCUGACAGACAGGUCAAAGGUCUGGAGCAGGAGAACGAUCAUCUGAACCAGACCAUCGCCUCUCUCAGGCAGCGCUCUCAGGUCAGCGCCGAGGCCCGCGUCAAAGACAUCGAGAAAGAAAACCGCGUGCUGCACGAGUCCAUCAAAGAGACCAGCAGCAAGCUCAACAAGAUGGAGUUUGAGCGCAAACAACUUCGCAAUGACCUGGAGCACUAUAAAGAGAAAGGAGAAAGAGCCGAGGAGCUGGAGAUGGAGGUCCAUCGACUGGAGCGAGAGAAGGAGAGUCUGCAGAAGCGUCUCGCUGCUCUCUCCAUCACCUGUGGGAAGGUGGAGGUGCUGGAGAAGGAGAAUGCUGAGCUGGAAGCAGAGAGCAGGAAACUGAAGAAAGCGGCGGACGGUCUGAGGAACGUUUCCUAUCAGCUGGAGGUCCUGGAGAAGGAAAACACUCAGCUGGAUGAAGAAAACCUGGCGCUCCGGCGCAUGGUAGAGUCUUUACGGUCCACCGGAGCAAAGGCUGCUCAGCUGGAGCUGGAGAACAAAGAGCUGGAGAGCGAGAGAACCCAACUCAAAAAGAGUCUUGAGCUCCUGAAGGCUUCGUCCAAAAAAAACGAGCGUUUGGAAGUCAGUUACCAAAGCCUGGACGCAGAGAACCAGCGGCUCCAGAAAGCCCUGGAGAGCGGCAGCCGCAAGAUUCAGCAGCUGGAGGGAGAACUGCAGGACACGGAGAUGGAGAACCAGAGCCUGCAGCAGAGCCUGGAGGAGCUGAAGAUCUCCAGCAAAGGUCUGGAGCAGCUGGCGCAGGAGAACAUGGCCCUGGAGCAGGAGAACAACCAGCUGGAGAGGGACAAGAAGCAGCUGGAGAAGGAGAACAAGCGGCUGCGACAGCAGGCUGAAAUCAAAGACUCCAGACUCGAUGAAGACAACCUGCGCAUCUCUCACCUCGAGAAGGAGAACCGCACGCUGGGCAAGGAGCUCACCGCUCUCAAAGACACGUGUGGCCGCAUCAAAGACUUGGAGAAGGACAAUAAAGAACUGGUCAAACAAGCAACCAUAGACAAGAGGACCCUGGUCACUCUGAGAGAGGAGCUUGUCAAUGAGAAAUUAAAGACCCAGCAGAUUAACAAUGACCUGGAGAAGCUGACCCAUGAGCUUGAGAAGAUCGGCCUCGAUAAAGAGGGGCUUCUGGGGGAUGAAGAGAGCUCUGAUGACAGGUUUAAGCUUCUGGAGUGUAAGCUGGAGUCCACUCUGAAGUCCUCUCUGGAGAUCAAAGUGGAGAAGAUCGCUGCGCUAGAAGCCCGACUGCAGGAGUCCUCCAACCUCAACCAGCAGCUGCGGCACGAGCUCAAAACGGUGAAGAAGAACUACGAGGCUCUGCGCCAGCGUCAGGAGGAGGAGUGUUCGGCUCAGAGCUCGCCUGCGAGAGGACGGGAGGACACACAGAGCAAAUGGGAGAAGGAGAGUCAGGAGGCCACGCGAGAGCUUCUGAAGCUCAAAGACCGACUCAUAGAGGUGGAGAGGAACAACGCCACUCUCCAAGCAGAGAAGCAGGCUCUCCGGACGCAGCUGAAGCAGCUGGAGUCUCAGAGCGGCAAUCUCCAGGCACAGAUACUGGCUCUUCAGAGACAGACCGCGUCCCUACAGGAGAACAACACCACGCUACAAACACAGAACGCCAAACUACAGGUGGAGAACUCAACGCUGAACUCUCAGAGCGCCGCUCUCAUGUCCCAAAAUGCUCAGCUGCAGACGCAGCAGUCCGGCACAGAGAGCGAGAGGGACGUGGCCAUUCGAGAGAAGGAAGAGCUGCGCUCGGUCUACGAUCUGCUGCUGCACGACCACGAGAAGCUGUCUGCUCUGCACGAGAGACAGGCCUCAGAGUACGAGGAUCUGAUCGGCAAACACGGAGAGCUGAAGAGCGGCCACAAGAGCCUGGAGCUGCAGCACCGCAGUCUGGAGAACAGAUACAAUCAGCUGCUGAAGCAGAAGACCGAGCUGGAGCAGCUGGAGAGAGAGCUCACAGCAGAGCGAGAGAAGAUGAUCUCUGACAGCAGGAGCCAUCAGGACACGGCCGCACAGUACCAGAGGCUCGGCGAGGAGCACCACACGCUGAGCUCCACGCACCAGCAGCUCCUGAAGGACAACGAGCUCCUGCAGACAGAUCAUAAGAGCCUCAAGAGUCAGCUGAACACGGCCCGGCUGGAGCAGACGCGUCUGGAGGCAGAGUUCUCCAAACUCAAAGAACAGUACCAGCAGCUGGACAUAACCUCCACCAAACUCACCAACCAGUGCGAGUUGUUAAGUCAGCUGAAGGGGAACCUAGAGGAAGAGAACCGGCAUUUGCUGGAUCAGAUCCAGACCCUCAUGCUGCAGAACCGGACCCUGCUGGAGCAGACCAUGGAGAGCAAAGACCUGUUCCAUGUCGAGCAGAGACAAUACAUUGAUAAACUCAAUGAACUGAGGAGACAGAAAGAAAAACUUGAGGAGAAGAUUAUGGAUCAGUAUAAAUUUUAUGACCCGUCACCUCCACGAAGGAGGGGCAACUGGAUCGCGCUAAAGAUGAGGAAGCUCAUCAAGCCAAAGAGUCGUGAGCGCAUGCGCUCUCUCACGCAGACACCCUCCCGCUCCGAGUCCAGCGAAGGGUUCCUGAUGCUGCCGCAGCCAGACAGUCAGGACAGCUCGUCCAUCGGCUCUGGAUCCAACUCGCUGGAGGACAAUCUCACCCACCACAGCAGCAGGAAGAGAUUUGAGAAAAGCCAAACACAGGCUUCCUCUAACGCACUGAAAAAGCUUGCGUUCAUGAGGAACCGAUCCAAGGAGAAAGACCAAGUGAAGGCCGUCUACCGCCGCUCUAUGUCGAUGAACGACCUGCUGCAGACGAUGGCAGUGUCCGGGGGUCAGUGGUCCAGCAGCACGGAUCAUCUCGAAGCUCCAGACGAGGCCAUCGGUGCUCAGCACGGGAAGGAGUUUGGAUCCAUGGACUACUCCGGGCUGAGCCUGACCCACGGCCGCAGCGCUCGCCUCCGCUCGGACACAGGAGCAGCCGUGUCCAGUGAAGACGUCACACAGUCGUCGUGGUCAGAGCGAGCUCAGGGUGUGAUGAACGGCAGUGUGAGCCGGCCUCACAGCGAGAGCAGUGACCUCAGUGUGAGUCUGGACAGUCCUGCGACACACAGCUCUCUGGAGGGAAAACACAGGGCCACAUCUGCAGGAAGUGAGGUGGUGUCCCUGCAGCAGUUCCUGGAGGAGAGCACAGAGCCAGCAGAGUCGUCUGGUGUGUCCAGGGAGCGUGUGAAGAGCCGAGGUAUCCUGCGGUCAGCCAGCAGUAAGGCGUCUGCGGUGGACAGUGCUCGAGCCGGUCAGCCGGGCCGCCCCAGCCUGCGUAAGGCCGAGAGCUCGCGGUCCAAGGGCCGAGCCGGCCUGUCAGCGCAGAGCAAAGCCUCGUCAGCAUCUCUGUCGGAGCGUCUGGACUCCAGCGCAGGCCUGCCCCGCGCCAGCAGUGUGAUCUCCACCGCCGAGGGCUCUGUGCGCCGCACCAGCAUCCACGAGCUGCUCUCCAAGGACAGCCGUCAGCCCGUGCUGGUGGACCCCGCUCCCGCACGCUCCCAGAGUGAGUACAGUGAGCCAGCCCUGCACAAGUCCACUAGCAUGCCCUGCCGCGUACAGGAGCCCCAGCCGUCCAGCCUGCAGGCCUUUCUAGGUCCCUCCUUCACCGUAGACUCCAUCUUUCUGGACUCCAUCUUUAGCGAGCCAGCGGUGACGGGCGGCGCUAGAAACCAGACCAUCCUGUCCCUCAACACCGCUCUCGUUAGUAACAUUAGCGGCCCGCCCCAUAAGGCCAAGCGCUCAGACGAGCAGCCCGCUGAGCCCGAGCCUGACCCCGAGGACGGCCAGUCGCUGUGAUGUGGAAAACAGGAAGAGUAAGAGCAGAGGUGGAGCUCAGAGUUUGUCCUGAAUCCCACGAGAGAAUCAUGGUCUGAAGACUGAAGACCAGGCACAUUCCUACAAUCUCCUGCCAUGAGAAACAGGCCGUUUCUCUCUCUUUUGUAACCCUCAUGGACCCUGAGCAAUGAAAACAGAAAAUACAUCCUUUUCCUUGAAUCAAGGAAGCAGAAGGAGUCUUAGAGAAGCUGGGUCUCGUCUCACUCCCUCAUGAUCACCGCUGCAUGUGUGCUGCUCAUCUGACCUGCAGAAGACACCCGAGCAAACCCUGAAACACCAAAAACAGAAGGACUGAGUGUGUGUGUGUGUGUGUGUGUGUGUGUGUGUGUGUGCGCCAAAAGACAGCGUUACUCCUGUGUGAACGCCAUAUACCGCUUCAUUCCUCUUUUCAUAAAUUAAAUCAAUGUGAUAAACUUCA